This 413-nucleotide unclassified non-coding RNA is filed under the name Hevea brasiliensis (rubber tree). The record is from RNAcentral. Lineage: Eukaryota; Viridiplantae; Streptophyta; Magnoliopsida; Malpighiales; Euphorbiaceae.
UCCGCAGAGAGGGCCUGCAAUAUCCCGCCUACUACCUUUCCUCCAGAAACUGACUUGUUGAAUAGUGAAUGAGUUCUUCUAUCCUCUGACUGGCGAUUUAUCGAAGGAAGAAGCUUUGAUAUCCCGUAAACAGAUGCCCUCGUUGGAUUUUGGGUAGUAGUUGAACUCUCUUUCAACAUUCUGACAGAACUUUUGUUGGUUUCUCCAGAGUGAGGAGCCAAAUUGAUUGACAUGUGGACAGAUUUUGGAGUUGAUCUCCUUUUAUCAAUCAAGCCUCCCACAGACUUAUUGCUGUUUGGAUGGACAUUUGUUCCACCUUUCAGUUGUGUGGAACUGACCAGUUUGCUAGAAGACUUUGGGAGUUUGGAGGCUCUGCUCUGACUUGAUUUUAAUGACGAAUUCAAUUGUCUUUU